CGAUUACAAGCCAAAAUCGCUUCAUGUGAUUUGAUUUUGGAUCGAGAAGUUACUGGAAGGUGUAAAUUUUCGGAGAUUGUUGAAGUUGUCCGUAGUCGCUGGCAAUGGAGGCGAUACUGGCACGAGCCCUCGAGUACACGCUCAAGUAUUGGCUCAAAUCCUUCUCCAGAGAUCAGUUAAAGCUUCAAGGACGUGUCGUACAACUAUCCAAUUUAGAUAUAAAUGGAGAUGCCUUGCAUGCCAGCAUGGGAUUGCCACCGGCCUUGAAUGUAACAAAGGCAAAAGUGGGCAAAUUUGAGAUAAUUCUCCCAUAUAUUAGUAAUGUACAAGUAGAACCAAUUGUUAUACAAAUUGAUAAGCUCGAUUUGGUUCUGGAGGAGAAUCGUGAUUUGGAUGCAUGUAGCAGCUCUAACAGCAUCCAGUCAUCUGCUGGCUCCAGUAAGGCUAGCGGCUAUGGAUUUGCUGACAAGAUUGCAGAUGGAAUGACAAUUCAGGUUAGCACAGUCAAUCUUCUACUUGAAACGCGUGGGGGUGUUCG
Molecule: unclassified non-coding RNA, 538 nt
Filed under: Hevea brasiliensis (rubber tree)
Lineage: Eukaryota; Viridiplantae; Streptophyta; Magnoliopsida; Malpighiales; Euphorbiaceae
Source: RNAcentral